This 465-nucleotide ribosomal RNA is filed under the name uncultured bacterium. RNAcentral's name for it is "bacterial SSU rRNA". It matches the Rfam family "Bacterial small subunit ribosomal RNA", at positions 338 to 795 of the family's 1533-position model. The record is from RNAcentral.
CCUACGGGAUGCAGCAGUGGGGAAUAUUGCACAAUGGGCGCAAGCCUGAUGCAGCCAUGCCGCGUGUAUGAAGAAGGCCUUCGGGUUGUAAAGUACUUUCAGCGGGGAGGAAGGCGAUAAGGUCAGUAACCUUGUCGAUUGACGUUACCCGCAGAAGAAGCUCCGGCUAACUCCGUGCCAGCAGCCGCGGUAAUACGGAGGGUGCAAGCGUUAAUCGGAAUUACUGGGCGUGAAGCGCACGCAGGCGGUCUGUCAAGUCGGAUGUGAAAUCCCCGGGCUCAACCUGGGAACUGCAUUCGAAACUGGCAGGCUAGAGUCUUGUAGAGGGGGGUAGAAUUCCAGGUGUAGCGGUGAAAUGCGUAGAGAUCUGGAGGAAUACCGGUGGCGAAGGCGGCCCCCUGGACAAAGACUGACGCUCAGGUGCGAAAGCGUGGGGAGCAAACAGGAUUAGAUACCCCUGUAGUC